Unclassified non-coding RNA from Erinaceus europaeus (western European hedgehog), 141 nucleotides. Its record names the gene Telomerase-vert. It matches the Rfam family "Vertebrate telomerase RNA". Rfam says of the family: Telomerase is a ribonucleoprotein reverse transcriptase that synthesises telomeric DNA. Lineage: Eukaryota; Metazoa; Chordata; Mammalia; Eulipotyphla; Erinaceidae. The record is from Ensembl.
AACCCAAAGCUUUGUGAGGCGUAGGUGCCGUCUUUUGUUCCACCACGUGUUGUUUUUCUCGCUGACUAUCAGCGCGCAGAAAAGCCAUGCCCUGCUGCCACUUGUCAUGGAUGUCCGUUUACAAAAAAAAAAAAAAACCAA